RNAcentral lists this ribosomal RNA (253 nucleotides) under uncultured bacterium. RNAcentral's name for it is "partial 16S ribosomal RNA". It matches the Rfam family "Bacterial small subunit ribosomal RNA", at positions 524 to 776 of the family's 1533-position model. The record is from RNAcentral.
UACGUAGGGAGCAAGCGUUGUCCGGAAUUAUUGGGCGUAAAGAGCUUGUAGGCGGUUUGUCGCGUCUGCUGUGAAAUUUCGGGGCUCAACCCCGAACUUGCAGUGGGUACGGGCAGACUAGAGUGUGGUAGGGGAGACUGGAAUUCCUGGUGUAGCGGUGAAAUGCGCAGAUAUCAGGAGGAACACCGAUGGCGAAGGCAGGUCUCUGGGCCACUACUGACGCUGAGAAGCGAAAGCAUGGGGAGCGAACAGG